AGUCGAGCGGUAACAUUUCUAGCUUGCUAGAAGAUGACGAGCGGCGGACGGGUGAGUAACGCGUAGGAAUCUGCCUAGUAGUGGGGGACAACAUGUGGAAACGCAUGCUAAUACCGCAUACGCCCUACGGGGGAAAGGAGGGGAUCUUCGGACCUUUCGCUAAUAGAUGAGCCUGCGUGAGAUUAGCUAGUUGGUGGGGUAAAGGCCUACCAAGGCGUCGAUCUCUAGCUGGUCUGAGAGGAUGAUCAGCCACACUGGGACUGAGACACGGCCCAGACUCCUACGGGAGGCAGCAGUGGGGAAUAUUGGACAAUGGGCGCAAGCCUGAUCCAGCCAUGCCGCGUGUGUGAAGAAGGCCUUAGGGUUGUAAAGCACUUUCAGGAGUGAGGAAGGGUAUGCAGUUAAUACCUGUAUAUUUUGACGUCAACUCCAGAAGAAGCACCGGCUAACUCUGUGCCAGCAGCCGCGGUAAUACAGA
Molecule: ribosomal RNA, 478 nt
Filed under: uncultured bacterium
Lineage: Bacteria
Description: bacterial SSU rRNA
Rfam family: Bacterial small subunit ribosomal RNA
Source: RNAcentral